This 397-nucleotide ribosomal RNA is filed under the name uncultured bacterium. Its description in RNAcentral is "bacterial SSU rRNA". It matches the Rfam family "Bacterial small subunit ribosomal RNA", at positions 358 to 772 of the family's 1533-position model. The record is from RNAcentral.
GGAAUAUUGGACAAUGGGCGCAAGCCUGAUCCAGCAAUGCCGCGUGAGUGAUGAAGGCCUUAGGGUUGUAAAGCUCUUUCACCGGGGAAGAUAAUGACGGUACCCGGAGAAGAAGCCCCGGCUAACUCCGUGCCAGCAGCCGCGGUAAUACGGAGGGGGCGAGCGUUGUUCGGAAUUACUGGGCGUAAAGCGCACGUAGGCGGCUUUGUAAGUUAGAGGUGAAAGCCCGGAGCUCAACUCCGGAACUGCCUUUAAGACUGCAUCGCUAGAACGUUGGAGAGGUAAGUGGAAUUCCGAGUGUAGAGGUGAAAUUCGUAGAUAUUCGGAAGAACACCAGUGGCGAAGGCGACUUACUGGACAACUGUUGACGCUGAGGUGCGAAAGCGUGGGGAGCAAA